AGAGUUUGAUUAUGGCUCAGGAUGAACGCUAGCUACAGGCUUAACACAUGCAAGUCGAGGGGCAGCAUGUUGGUUGCUUGCAACCAAUGAUGGCGACCGGCGCACGGGUGAGUAACGCGUAUCCAACCUACCCUUGUCCAUCGGAUAACCCGUCGAAAGGCGGCCUAACACGAUAUGCGGUUCACAGCAGGCAUCUAAGGUGAACGAAAUGUGAAGGAGAAGGAUGGGGAUGCGUCUGAUUAGCUUGUUGGCGGGGUAACGGCCACCAAGGCUACGGUCAGUAGGGGUUCUGAGAGGAAGGUCCCCCANAUUGGAACUGAGACACGGUCCAAACUCCUACGGGAGCA
RNAcentral lists this ribosomal RNA (347 nucleotides) under uncultured bacterium. Its description in RNAcentral is "bacterial SSU rRNA". It matches the Rfam family "Bacterial small subunit ribosomal RNA", at positions 8 to 349 of the family's 1533-position model. The record is from RNAcentral.